AAUAAACCCGCGUGAAGGAUUGAAGCGAUAUCCUUUUUGUUUUUCACAAAAAGAUUUAGCGGAAAGCCUGACCCGAU
This 77-nucleotide small RNA is filed under the name Siansivirga zeaxanthinifaciens CC-SAMT-1. RNAcentral's name for it is "Flavo-1 RNA". It matches the Rfam family "Flavo-1 RNA". Lineage: Bacteria; Pseudomonadati; Bacteroidota; Flavobacteriia; Flavobacteriales; Flavobacteriaceae. The record is from Rfam by way of RNAcentral.